This 174-nucleotide ribosomal RNA is filed under the name uncultured bacterium. RNAcentral describes it as "partial 16S ribosomal RNA". It matches the Rfam family "Bacterial small subunit ribosomal RNA", at positions 1319 to 1500 of the family's 1533-position model. The record is from RNAcentral.
CACGAAGUUGGAUUCGCUAGUAAUCGCGCAUCAGCCAUGGCGCGGUGAAUACGUUCCCGGGCCUUGUACACACCGCCCGUCAAGCCAUGGGAGCCGGGGGCGCCUGAAGUCCGGGACCGCGAGGACCGGCCUAGGGCGAAACUGGUGACUGGGGCUAAGUCGUAACAAGGUAGC